CCCUUAGAUGUUCUGGGCUGCACGCGCGCUACACUGUCGGAUUCAGCGAGUCAUAUCCUUAACCGAAAGGUUUGGGUAAUCUUUUGAAAGUCCGACGUGAUGGGGAUUGAUCAUUGCAAUUAUUGAUCAUGAACGAGGAAUUCCUAGUAAGCGCGAGUCAUCAGCUCGCGUUGAUUACGUCCCUGCCCUUUGUACACACCGCCCGUCGCUACUACCGAUUGAAUGGUUUAGUGAGAUCUUCGGAUUGGCGCCUACGCGGCUUCUCUGAGGCCACGCUGGAUGUCGAAAAGUUGCUCAAACUGUAUCAUUUAGAGGAAGUAAAAGUCGUAACA
This 332-nucleotide ribosomal RNA is filed under the name uncultured eukaryote. RNAcentral's name for it is "partial 18S ribosomal RNA". It matches the Rfam family "Eukaryotic small subunit ribosomal RNA", at positions 1470 to 1796 of the family's 1831-position model. The record is from RNAcentral.